This 1239-nucleotide ribosomal RNA is filed under the name metagenome. Its description in RNAcentral is "bacterial LSU rRNA". It matches the Rfam family "Bacterial large subunit ribosomal RNA", at positions 1711 to 2925 of the family's 2925-position model. The record is from RNAcentral.
AACUCGGCAAAUUGCCCCCGUAACUUCGGGAGAAGGGGGGCCUCCGCUGGUGAUCAGACUUGCUUUGUGAGCUGGUGGGGGUCGCAGAGGCCAGGGGGAAGCGACUGUUUACUAAAAACACAGGUCCGUGCGAAGUCGUAAGACGAUGUAUACGGACUGACGCCUGCCCGGUGCUGGAACGUUAAGGGGACCGGUUAGCGGGACGUAAGUCCUGCGAGGCUGAGAACUUAAGCGCCAGUAAACGGCGGUGGUAACUAUAACCAUCCUAAGGUAGCGAAAUUCCUUGUCGGGUAAGUUCCGACCUGCACGAAUGGCGUAACGACUUCCCCGCUGUCUCAACCGCAGACCCGGCGAAAUUGCACUACGAGUAAAGAUGCUCGUUACGCGCAGCAGGACGGAAAGACCCCGGGACCUUCACUACAUCUUGACAUUGGCGUUUGGAACGUCUUGUGUAGGAUAGGUGGGAGACUGUGAAGCCGUCACGCUAGUGGUGGUGGAGUCAUUGGUGAAAUACCACUCUGGUCGUUUUGAACGUCUAACUUCGGUCCGUGAUCCGGAUCAGGGACAGUGUCUGGUGGGUAGUUUAACUGGGGCGUUUGCCUCCUAAAGAGUAACGGAGGCGCCCAAAGGUUCCCUCAGCCUGGUUAGUAAUCAGGUGUCGAGUGUAAGUGCACAAGGGAGCUUGACUGUGAGACCUACGGGUCGAGCAGGAGCGAAAGCUGGGACUAGUGAUCCGGCGGUGGCAUGUGGAAGCGCCGUCGCUCAACGGCUAAAAGGUACCCCGGGGAUAACAGGCUGAUCUUCCCCAAGAGUCCAUAUCGACGGGAUGGUUUGGCACCUCGAUGUCGGCUCGUCGCAUCCUGGGGCUGGAGUAGGUCCCAAGGGUUGGGCUGUUCGCCCAUUAAAGCGGUACGCGAGCUGGGUUUAGAACGUCGCGAGACAGUUCGGUCCCUAUCCGCUGCGCGCGCAGGAGACUUGAAAGGAGCUGUCCCUAGUACGAGAGGACCGGGACGGACGAACCUCUGGUGUGCCAGUUGUUCCGCCAGGAGCAUGGCUGGUUGGCUACGUUCGGAAGGGAUAACCGCUGAAAGCAUCUAAGCGGGAAGCUCGCCUUGAGAUGAGGUCUCCCACCACGUGAGUGGGUAAGGCCCCCGGGAGACGACCGGGUUGAUAGGCCGGAGGUGGAAGCACGGUAACGUGUGGAGCUGACCGGUACUAAUAGGCCGAGGACUUGACCAC